Hyla sarda is the source of this 902-nucleotide long non-coding RNA. RefSeq lists it as uncharacterized. The transcript has 7 exons. The record is from RefSeq and is a predicted model, not a curated record. NCBI's taxonomy places the organism in Eukaryota, Metazoa, Chordata, Amphibia, Anura, Hylidae.
ACUAUUCCAUUACAUCCCCAUUAUUCUGCUUAGUGGAACUCUUUACCUUGAUCUCAGAAUUCUGGAACAUUUCCAUUGCUUCUUCUACUAGUGCCUCAUCAUACCCAAGUUUACAGAGACGAUCUGUGGCUCCCAGGGUUUUAUGCUUUCAGUAUUGUGACAAAACUGGAUGAGAGACAUCACCUGUGAUUGGCUAAGAGGGCCGUCACUUCAGGAAGGUGGACAGGACAGUUGCACAUACCCCUUAAGCGUAGACCUCGCUGCUGCACACUGAGUAUCCCGUGAGAGAAUAUAUAGAAGCAAGAUGUCUGUAGAUGUUUACGAGAAGUCAGCAGCUUUUACGCCAGAACCUCAACCAUUGCAGUGCAAAGCACCACUUUAGGCCACAAAUCUCAUCGGUGCUGUCUCACUCCUAAGGAGUUCAAAACGCGUCCAUAGGAGUUGUUUGCUGACCAGGUGAAGGUGGAUGGUGUGUGCUCUGUAUUUUUAAAGAAAAGUGAAAUAAAGGAUCUACGUUUUAAGGGACUGCUGGACUACCUUUCUUCAUUUACCCACAAGUUUCAAGCCUGGCCGGGCUCAAGUCCUUGCAGACCGUGGAGGAGCGGCAAUGUUUUAUUCAACAAACAUUUCCAGGAAGAAGAGAAAAGAUUUAGAGAAUCAACUAUAGGGAUCAGAAAUAAACAUACGAAGAGGUAGAGAUAUUUUUUAAGGAAACAAGACGUCACUCACUGAAGAGCAUGGAAUCCUCAGCACUUCUGGACACCGAUGGAGAUAGAGGUUUGCUGGUCCAGUCAUCGAGAGGAUAUGCCUUUCCUGAAGAAAACCUUUUAUAGCCAUUAAAUUGGGUCCCGCUCCAUAUUAACACCCAUGGUUUUGGAACUGAAUGGUUAUCAAGCUCAUAU